RNAcentral lists this unclassified non-coding RNA (289 nucleotides) under Hevea brasiliensis (rubber tree). Lineage: Eukaryota; Viridiplantae; Streptophyta; Magnoliopsida; Malpighiales; Euphorbiaceae. The record is from RNAcentral.
AAGGAUGGUUACAAGUCAAUCCAUGAAGCUGUUGGAGCAGACUGCAGAUAGUUUUUGCUGUUGUCAUCCAGUCAUUUGAGCUCGAGGGGCUGACUACAUUUUUGCCGCAGUCUUAAUAAAACGAAAAUUUUGGUGCCUUCCCAUUUUGCCUCGUACAAUUUGCUACAUUAUUUGUGAUGCCUUUCAAAAAAUUUAGAUGUUUAUGGUUUACUUGUGGCAAGUGACUCAUUUUUUUCUUAAUGUAACAUAGUAACAAAAUUUUGGAUCUUUGGUUGAUAUUUUGUCUUUG